AAUAAAGCUAUGACUGGAACGAGUAGGACGUUAAGCGCAGUGUCAGCGAAUUAGGGUUGUGGUGUGAGCCUAAUCUCUGCAACGUACCGAAUAUCCCCCAGGAGCGUCUCUUGAAACUUAGUAGAGAGAAACGGGUCAUGCCGUUACACAUGAUCGAGUGAAGAAGCUAUGAUCGGCUCGUCUGUUGGCGUGCGUUCAUGAGGCUUUUUAACGAGGGUGGUACCGCGAGUUUAAGUUUCUCGUCCCUUUC
RNAcentral lists this non-coding RNA (250 nucleotides) under Paenibacillus pectinilyticus. RNAcentral's name for it is "T-box sequence". It matches the Rfam family "T-box leader". Rfam says of the family: Uncharged tRNA acts as the effector for transcription antitermination of genes in the T-box leader family. Lineage: Bacteria; Bacillati; Bacillota; Bacilli; Caryophanales; Paenibacillaceae. The record is from RNAcentral.